CUUACUAUGGACUUAAGGCUCACAUUGGUUUCCUUUGUUCUUAUUUUAAAAGGUGUCCAGUGUGAGAUGCAAUUGCUGGAGUCUGGGGGAGGCUUAGUGCAGCCUGGAAAGUCCCUGAAACUCUCCUGUGCAGCCUCUGGAUUCUCCGUCAGUGGGUACUGGAUGAAUUGGGUCCAUCAGGCUCCAGGGAAAGGGCUGGAGUGGGUUGCAGCCAUUAGUACUGGUGGUAGCACCUACUAUCCCGACGCUGUGAAGGACCGGUUCACAAUCUCCAGAGACAACGCCAAGAACACUCUGUACCUGGAAAUGAGCAGUCUGACGUCUGAGGACACAGCCAUGUAUUACUGUGCAAGAGACACAGUGAGUGAAUGCUACUGUGAUCUCAGACAAAAACACCCCUGUUUGGUACACGGGACCAGCAGGGGGCGCUGA
Non-coding RNA from Microtus oregoni (creeping vole), 432 nucleotides. The record is from the annotation of a RefSeq genome assembly. Lineage: Eukaryota; Metazoa; Chordata; Mammalia; Rodentia; Cricetidae.